Molecule: ribosomal RNA, 253 nt
Filed under: uncultured bacterium
Lineage: Bacteria
Description: partial 16S ribosomal RNA
Rfam family: Bacterial small subunit ribosomal RNA
Source: RNAcentral
GACAGAGGAGCCAAGCGUUGUCCGGAUUGACUGGGCGUAAAGCGCACGCAGGCGGUCACGCGCGUGGGGUGUGAAAACUGGCGGCUUAACUGCCAGAGGCCAUCCCAUACGGCGCGACUCGAGCCAUGCAGAGGUCCACGGAAUUGCCGGUGUAGUGGUGAAAUGCGUAGAUAUCUGGAGGAAUACCGGUGGCGAAGGCAGGUCUCUGGGCUGACACUGACGCUCAUGCACGAAAGCGUGGGGAGCAAACAGG